GAUGAACGCUGGCGGCGUGCCUAAUACAUGCAAGUCGAGCGAACAGACGAGGAGCUUGCUCCUCUGACGUUAGCGGCGGACGGGUGAGUAACACGUGGAUAACCUACCUAUAAGACUGGGAUCACUUCGGGAAACCGGAGCUAAUACCGGAUAACAUGUUGAACCGCAUGGUUCAACAGUUAAAUACGGUUUUGCUGUCACUUAUAGCUGGUUCCGCGUCGCAUUAGCUAGUUGGUAAGGUAACGGCUUACCAAGGCAACGAUGCGUAGCCGACCUGAGAGGGUGAUCGGCCACACUGGAACUGAGACACGGUCCAGACUCCUACGGGAGGCAGCAGUAGGGAAUCUUCCGCAAUGGGCGAAAGCCUGACGGAGCAACGCCGCGUGAGUGAAGAAGGUCUUCGGAUCGUAAAACUCUGUUAUUAGGGAAGAACAAAUGUGGAAGUAACUAUGCACGUCUUGACGGUACCUAAUCAGAAAGCCACGGCUAACUACGUG
Molecule: ribosomal RNA, 497 nt
Filed under: uncultured bacterium
Lineage: Bacteria
Description: partial 16S ribosomal RNA
Rfam family: Bacterial small subunit ribosomal RNA
Source: RNAcentral